UUCGCCCUUUUCCGGUUGAUCCCGCCGGACCCCACUGCUAUCGAGGUGGGACUAAGCCAUGCUAGUUGAGCGCACAGAACUAUGUCUGUGAGCGGCACACUGCUCAGUAACACGUAGCUAACCUACCCUUAGGACGUGGACAACCCCGAGAAAUUGGGGCUAAUCCGCGAUAGAUGUAAUGUCCUGGAAUGGUAUUACGUCCAAAGGUAUCCCAUACAUGUUUGGUAUACGCCUAAGGAUGGGGCUGCGGCCGAUCAGGCUGUUGGUGAGGUAAUGGCUCACCAAACCUUUGACCGGUACGGGCCAUGAGAGUGGUAGCCCGGAGAUGGACACUGAGACAAGGGUCCAGGCCCUACGGGGCGCAGCAGGCGCGAAACCUCCUCAAUGCACUUACGUGCGAAGGGGCUACCUCGAGUGCCACCUGAUGAAGGUGGCUUUUCCUAGGUCAAAAAAGCCUUGGGAAUAAGAGGGGGGCAAGACU
Molecule: ribosomal RNA, 481 nt
Filed under: uncultured archaeon
Lineage: Archaea
Description: bacterial SSU rRNA
Rfam family: Archaeal small subunit ribosomal RNA
Source: RNAcentral